RNAcentral lists this ribosomal RNA (440 nucleotides) under uncultured bacterium. RNAcentral describes it as "partial 16S ribosomal RNA". It matches the Rfam family "Bacterial small subunit ribosomal RNA", at positions 338 to 795 of the family's 1533-position model. The record is from RNAcentral.
CCUACGUGCGGCAGCAGUGGGGAAUAUUGCACAAUGGGGGGAACCCUGAUGCAGCGACGCCGCGUGAGUGAAGAAGUAUUUCGGUAUGUAAAGCUCUAUCAGCAGGGAAGAAGAUGACGGUACCUGACUAAGAAGCCCCGGCUAACUACGUGCCAGCAGCCGCGGUAAUACGUAGGGGGCAAGCGUUAUCCGGAUUUACUGGGUGUAAAGGGAGCGUAGACGGCAGGGCAAGUCUGGAGUGAAAGCCCGGGGCCCAACCCCGGGACUGCUUUGGAAACUGCCAUGCUAGAGUGCUGGAGAGGUAAGCGGAAUUCCUAGUGUAGCGGUGAAAGGCGUAGAUAUUAGGAGGAACACCAGUGGCGAAGGCGGCUUACUGGACAGUAACGGACGUUGAGGCUCGAAAGCGUGGGGAGCAAACAGGAUGAGAUACACCAGUAGUC